This 394-nucleotide ribosomal RNA is filed under the name uncultured bacterium. RNAcentral describes it as "partial 16S ribosomal RNA". It matches the Rfam family "Bacterial small subunit ribosomal RNA", at positions 523 to 918 of the family's 1533-position model. The record is from RNAcentral.
AUACGUAGGGAGCGAGCGUUGUCCGGAAUUACUGGGCGUAAAGGGCGCGUAGGCGGCGCUUCAAGUCGUCUGUCAAAUGGGAGGGCUUAACCCUUUUUCGCAGACGAAACUGGAGAGCUUGAGAAGCAGAGAGGCAAACAGAAUUCCUGGUGUAGCGGUGAAACGCGUAGAUAUCAGGAAGAAUACCAGUGGCGAAGGCGGUUUGCUGGCUGCAUACUGACGCUGAAGCGCGAAAGCCAGGGGAGCAAACGGGAUUAGAUACCCCGGUAGUCCUGGCAGUAAACGAUGUAUGCUGGGUGUGAGACUAGCGAUAGUUUCGUGCCGAAGUUAACGCGAUAAGCAUACCGCCUGGGGAGUACGGUCGCAAGAUUGAAACUCAAAUGAAUUGACGGGG